GCCGAAGUGGCGGAAGUGGUAGACGCGCAUGAUUCAGGGUCAUGUAGGAUCAAACCUGUAGGAGUUCGAGUCUCCUCUUCGGCACCA
RNAcentral lists this transfer RNA (87 nucleotides) under Deltaproteobacteria bacterium. Its description in RNAcentral is "tRNA-Leu". It matches the Rfam family "tRNA". From Rfam's summary of the family: Transfer RNA (tRNA) molecules are approximately 80 nucleotides in length. Lineage: Bacteria; Pseudomonadati; Myxococcota; Myxococcia. The record is from RNAcentral.